Molecule: ribosomal RNA, 252 nt
Filed under: uncultured Bacteroidales bacterium
Lineage: Bacteria; Pseudomonadati; Bacteroidota; Bacteroidia; Bacteroidales
Description: partial 16S ribosomal RNA
Rfam family: Bacterial small subunit ribosomal RNA
Source: RNAcentral
UACGGAAGGUCCGGGCGUUAUCCGGAUUUAUUGGGUUUAAAGGGUGCGCAGGCGGCCUGUUAAGUCAGCGGUAAAAGCCCGGGGCUCAACCCCGGCGAGCCGUUGAAACUGGCGGGCUGGAGUUGGAGAGAAGUACGCGGAAUGCGCGGUGUAGCGGUGAAAUGCUUAGAUAUCGCGCAGAACCCCGAUUGCGAAGGCAGCAUACCGGCGCCCGACUGACGCUGAGGCACGAAAGUGCGGGUAUCGAACAGG